CACAAUACACAUGGAUGGCGCCCCUGCCCGCCUGCUACGCGUCGCCAGCACCCACAACGCCUCCCAGGUCCCCGGCAUCGGCUUCGCCUGACCACGUAGAAGCGCAUGGACAGCGCCAGUGCUCCUCGGUGCCACGCAUCGGUUUCUUCCGGACAUCCACUUCCAACGGCCAGCAUCGGCUUUGGCCGGCAGCGGAUGCCCUCCACAACCACCCCGCGCCCGUCACAUCUCCUCCUAGGAUCUUGCUGCUACUCCUCGUCUAGCCCCUCCUUCCUUUGCUUCGGCAUGGAGCCUGACGAGCCGUUCAGCGUGUCUUGAAGUGGUAGAGUACAAAAUCCGCCUGAAUGAUUCGCGGCCGGUCUAACUGCUCCCCACGGCAAGAGAUUAAGUCCCAGAACUAAGGUGAGGUUAUUCUGUUAAAAGUGAAUAAAAUUGUAUACUUGAUUUCCUGCCCACAUUUUACAAGUAAGGAACCGUUGAUUUGGGAUCCAUCUCGAUGGCCCAUAAGAUAAAUCAUCUCACCCUACCAUGAUUAAGUACCGCGUGCUUUUGUAGUUUUAUCUGUUCCACGCUUAACAUGGCCAUUAUUAGCCUCUAUUCCCAGAACGUUUGUAGUUUCUAGACCUAUUUUUUAUUCCGCAAAUCAUAUUUUUGUCAAUGUUUCUAGAGCAGGAACAUGCCUUUUCAAUCGAUUAAUUUGGUAUCUCUAAACCUUUAGUACCAAUCCUGCUUACUGAAUGGCUUCAAAUUCAAACAAGCUUUGAAGCCCUGGAUCCGAACGAGCCACACAAUUUGUUGUUUCUGUAUUAAGCAUUUGAAAGUUCAGGUGGUGCUAUCUUCUAUUUUUAGUUACUCAUGUGUUCUCAACAUAUUUUGGAAUAAUCAAAAUAUAUUGAUGUUGCAGUUUACUUUUGUCUAGAUUAUGGGGUAAAAAAGCUUUUGUAUGGAUUAGUUCUUUUCCAAUGAUUCUCAUGUUUAAUGUUGUGAGUUACUUCCAUAUAUGUGCACACCCGAGAGUGUUGACAAGUAUAGGUCUGAACAGUUGAAGGAAGAUGAUACAACAAUAGUUGAAGGAAGGUCAACCUAUUUUUCCAUCCAAUUCUCAUAAGUCUUCCAUGGACCUAAAAAUAUUACUAUGAAACAAGAUACAUAUUGUUUAAAAGUUGCCAAAAUUCGAGUGGAUAAACAUUAGGGCUCAUCACUCCUUAUGUUUGCUAACCUCUAUCUUAAAUCUAUUUCCUUGUGAGUUUUAUUUUUUAUCUACGGUGGUUGUACUCUCGACUGCGAAUUUACCUAUCUAUAUAAGUAAGAACAUAACCUCUAAUUAUCCUUACAGAUUGUUAUUGUUUGAUUCCUAUGGAUUGCUUCCAUUUUACACCUUUAAUCUAAUUAAUUAUGUUCAGCUUUGCGGAAUCAGUAAGAUUUACUUCACCAUUCUCUCUUCAUUGUUACAUUUGUUCGCUUUACGUACAUGCCGUUGUUUUGUAACACGUUAUCAUGACUUCCCAAACCAUGACUAUUACAUAAUUGCAAUAUUAACUAGAGUAGAAUAUUGAAUGGAUAUAGUAUGCUUAUGGACUGCCAUGUUCAACUAUUGACCAGAAGUUCAUCACCUUGGUAAGUUUAAAAGCUUUCUCCCUUCACUGGUCUUACCUUAUUAAGUCAAAAUUGGUUCGCCUUUUAUUUCAUCAUGAAACUUAUUUUUAUGCAAAUUGUUGUACAAACAUUGCCUUAACUAACUACACCAGGCUUUGGUUUUUAUAUGCAGAAAUUAUGGUACAAACUGAAUUGGCAUGUUCUGUUCUCACUCUCAUCAACUCUUGCACACUAUUUUUUUCACUUUUCAAGUGCCAGUGCUCUGUUUCUAUUAAAGGAGGUGAUUGUUUGUUGUCUUCGCGCGAUGAAGAUAAACAGUGAGCUACGAGCCUACGAUGUGGGCAACUAAGAAUCGCUACCACCUCUGAAACAAAUCUCCAAGGCCUAUUUGAUUUGCGGUAUAUUUAUUUGGUCUUGGUGGGUGAGAUGUUUUCGAUGCAUAAUUGGGUUGCAGGGCCAUGAUAUUUUGUCAGUGGGAACUUAAACCACUAGUGUUAAUAUUUUUUUGAAAGGAAACAUUAUGUAUCUUUCUAGCCUGUAGUGCAUUGUUUAAUCUCAUGAAAAGGUUUUAUUUUAGCCAAGAAAAGGUAUGGUUGACAAGUAUAUCCAAAUUAUUUAUAUUUCAUUUCUCUAACAUAUCGGAUUUUUCUUGCUACACUUCCCGCAAAUACGUGCGGGGUAUCAUCUAGUUAAAAUUAAUGAUUGAUGGUUGACGGAGUAAUUGACCACGGGUACCCCGAAGACGACAAGACAAUAUUUCAAGACAUCGGGGCUAGCAAAGCACCUCAGUCCGACUGCCCGGCUGCUCCUGCCGGCUGCCGACUGCGCCAACCAGCCGGCUGCCGACUGCAGCUCGACCCGACACCGACAAGACCCCGACGAGACGGCCAUACCGCGGACAAGACAACCGUACCGUGACGCCAUCAUGUAUAGUGUCACUUGUCUCCUGGCACUAUUUAUGAAGUGACCCAGGGGACAAGCUUGACAUGCACCAUGCCUUACCCAUGCCCACUACCAAGCUUACAUCCUAAGCUACCCUCUCCUAUAUAAAGGAGAAGACACACAUAGGCUCACACAUAUACAUGCCCAUGGACACACCCCUCACGCAUGCAUACAUGUUCACUCACGAUGGAGCACUCUCAUGCCCACUUGCUAGCUAGCUCAUACACACAUGAGACAUAUACAAGUCAGAUGCCCAUGGCACUGACCUCGGAUACAGCUCUAGGAGCACUUUGUAGUGCCCGAUGUACACCCCAGAUAUAUACUCAGACAUGCAGGAGUAGGG
Molecule: ribosomal RNA, 2881 nt
Filed under: Triticum aestivum (bread wheat)
Lineage: Eukaryota; Viridiplantae; Streptophyta; Magnoliopsida; Poales; Poaceae
Description: partial small subunit ribosomal RNA
Source: RNAcentral